GGGAGUGCUCGCAAGAGAACCGGAACACAGGUGCUGCAUGGCUGUCGUCAGCUCGUGUCGUGAGAUGUUGGGUUAAGUCCCGCAACGAGCGCAACCCUUGUCAUUAGUUGCUACGAAAGGGCACUCUAAUGAGACUGCCGGUGACAAACCGGAGGAAGGUGGGGAUGACGUCAAGUCCUCAUGGCCCUUAUGGGUAGGGCUUCACACGUCAUACAAUGGUCGGGACAGAGGGUCGCCAACCCGCGAGGGGGAGCCAAUCCCAGAAACCCGAUCGUAGUCCGGAUUGUAGUCUGCAACUCGACUACAUGAAGUCGGAAUCGCUAGUAAUCGCGGAUCAGCAUGUCGCGGUGAAUACGUUCCCGGGUCUU
Molecule: ribosomal RNA, 368 nt
Filed under: uncultured Bordetella sp.
Lineage: Bacteria; Pseudomonadati; Pseudomonadota; Betaproteobacteria; Burkholderiales; Alcaligenaceae
Description: bacterial SSU rRNA
Rfam family: Bacterial small subunit ribosomal RNA
Source: RNAcentral